GACGAACCGUGCGAACGUUGUUCGGAAUCACUGGGCUUAAAGGGCGCGUAGGCGGGUUCGCAAGUCCGGGGUGAAAUCUUUCGGCUCAACCGGAAAAUGGCCUUGGAUACUGCGAGUCUGGAGGGUGGUAGGGGCAGGUGGAACUUCCGGUGGAGCGGUGAAAUGCGUUGAUAUCGGAAGGAACGCCGGUGGCGAAAGCGACGGACUGGAUCUCUUCUGACGCUGAGGCGCGAAAGCCAGGGGAGCAAACGGG
Molecule: ribosomal RNA, 253 nt
Filed under: uncultured bacterium
Lineage: Bacteria
Description: partial 16S ribosomal RNA
Rfam family: Bacterial small subunit ribosomal RNA
Source: RNAcentral